RNAcentral lists this small nucleolar RNA (67 nucleotides) under Trypanosoma cruzi. RNAcentral's name for it is "C/D small nucleolar RNA (snoRNA)". Lineage: Eukaryota; Euglenozoa; Kinetoplastea; Trypanosomatida; Trypanosomatidae. The record is from RNAcentral.
CAUGGUGCCGCUGCUUGCUGUGCAAUGCCGACUUGCGUGAACUAGAAACGACGCUUUUACUGCUGGC